UAAAACCUUCAACCCGAAAUUUAUCCUGC
Molecule: non-coding RNA, 29 nt
Filed under: Rattus norvegicus (Norway rat)
Lineage: Eukaryota; Metazoa; Chordata; Mammalia; Rodentia; Muridae
Source: RNAcentral